Molecule: ribosomal RNA, 484 nt
Filed under: uncultured bacterium
Lineage: Bacteria
Description: partial 16S ribosomal RNA
Rfam family: Bacterial small subunit ribosomal RNA
Source: RNAcentral
AUUGAACGCUGGCGGCAGGCCUAACACAUGCAAGUCGAGCGGAUGAAGGGAGCUUGCUCCUGGAUUCAGCGGCGGACGGGUGAGUAAUGCCUAGGAAUCUGCCUGGUAGUGGGGGAUAACGUCCGGAAACGGGCGCUAAUACCGCAUACGUCCUGAGGGAGAAAGUGGGGGAUCUUCGGACCUCACGCUAUCAGAUGAGCCUAGGUCGGAUUAGCUAGUUGGUGGGGUAAAGGCCUACCAAGGCGACGAUCCGUAACUGGUCUGAGAGGAUGAUCAGUCACACUGGAACUGAGACACGGUCCAGACUCCUACGGGAGGCAGCAGUGGGGAAUGUUGGACACUGGGCGAAAGCCUGCUCCAGCCAUGCCGCGUGUGUGAAGAAGGUCUUCGGAUUGUAAAGCACUUUAAGUUGGGAGGAAGGGCAGUAAGUUAAUACCUUGCUGUUUUGACGUUACCAACAGAAUAAGCACCGGCUAACUUCGUG